AAAUAAUGUACUAACAACCAACAUUUCAGCAUAAGGAGUAUCAUAAGAGUGUUUAUUUGCACAUCAGGAGUAUCACAAUUACAACUAAGGAGGCAUUGUCCCCAUUGCUGUCCCUGAGCCCUUCACAAGAAGAGUUUCAAGCCUCGCAACUUCUUCCUCCAGCUCUGCACAUACCCUCAGUUACGAACCUAAUCCCUCAGCUAUGAUUAUUUCAAGAUCAACUUUGUUUCAUCGUGGGAAAGCUAUCAUCCAUGCGCAUCAGUGAUUUCUCACGUGUUCUGCUUAAUGAAAACAUAUACAUACAUGUAUAUAAUAUCACCAUCAGUCCUCAUGUAAGGCACUUUUCAGUUUACCACUGUAAGGCAAUAUAAGCCAUUCACUUAACAUCCAUGCAAAUAAUUAAUCGUCCAAAAAUGGAAGUAGCUGACUAACAUCAUAUAGCUGGCCAAUAAAAAGUAGUUGAAAAACAGUACUAACACUACAGUGGUAGAUCAACACAUUUAGCUACCACAUGGUAUUGGUAAGAACGGGAUAACAUGAUAAAGAUAAGCUGCUAAAUGCGUAUAAGUUGAAUCAGAGAGCAACAUAAUAUAUGGGCAUUCGAAAAGAGAAGGUAAAUUCUACAAUAAGAUACAGUUGUGGCCUUAUGGGAACUGGUCAAAUUUUACAAUAUGGGCUUCUGAGGUAUCAUAUGAUAUGUAUCAAGCUAAAUUCAAGUGUCUAAUUAUAAAUUCAAAUAAAAAGAAAAUUUAUGUGGUGUCUAGCCUUAAGUUUCUUCCAUUAUUUAGUUAUAUUGUCACUGUAAUCAUGCAGUUCAAAGCGUAGAAUUAUUCAGUAAACUGAUGUACUGAAAUGAAGUGGCUGUCAUCUUUUUCUUUCCUAAUUCAGAAUCUUCAACCUUAGGUACAGAUCAUGCCAUCGGUCCACAUAGCAAAGAUAAUGAUGCAGCCUCUGCCAACAAUAGAGCUCUCUCCUCAUAUUCAUAAAGUAAUAAAAAAACAAUCAAAUGGUUGCCAUCUUUUUCUUACUAAUUCAGAAUCUCCAAACUUAGGUACAGAUCCUGCCAUCGUCCACAUAGCAAAGAUCAACCAUAUCACUUGUGGAAAUGAUGCAGUCACUGCCAACAAUAGAGUUCUCUCCUCAUAUCCCUAAAAAUAUGAAAAACAAACAAAUCAAAAUUUAUGUAUAAAAGCACACUCAAAUAAGAAAAUCUGAGGCAAUAUGCACCAUGGCUUGAUCAGAGUGCAAGACAACAAGAGGAGAAGAGAAAGGCUAGAACCUGCAAGCUCAAGAAGCAGAGCAUGUUGUUGAGGCAAGGAAUGAGAGAAAUCUGAAUCGCCGGGUCGUGUCGUCUCGGAAGGUGAUGACCACAGGCAUACCCUCUUCCACCCCCGCGCCUUCGCCCUCUUCCUCGGGCAGCUCUCGUGGCUUCCAGGUCCAGCUGUUCGAUCCUAAAGCAACAGAGUAAAUAUCGACAAUACUUAAUUACCAUUAUAGAAGGGGAGCCUUGGCGCAGUGGUAAAGCUGCUGCCUUGUGACCAUGAGGUCAUGGGUUCAAGUCCUGGAAACAGCCUCUUACAGAAAUGUAGGGAAAGGCUGCGUACUAUAGACCCAAAGUGGUCGGACCCUUCCCUGGACCCUGCGCAAGCGGGAGCUACAUGCACCAGGUUGCCCUUUACUUAAUUACCAUUAUAGAGAUUCUCUCCUACAAAUUCAUAUGAAACAUAGUGUGCAUAGAAGCAACACGUACAGGUCAACUCCAUAUAUUUGAAUGAACACAUGCAAAGUAUUCCACGGCCUUCUAUAUGAAAUUUAGACCAUUUUUG
Molecule: long non-coding RNA, 1826 nt
Filed under: Triticum aestivum (bread wheat)
Lineage: Eukaryota; Viridiplantae; Streptophyta; Magnoliopsida; Poales; Poaceae
Description: long non-coding RNA (TAES_LNC005008)
Source: RNAcentral